AAUAAUCAGAAACAAUCAAAUUUUUUUUAUGUUAAAAUAGUUCAAAAGUCCAUAAAUUUACAACAUGAUCCAUAGAUUUACUUCCGCCCGCUUACUAUGAAUUUACAAUAUAUUCCUAAAUGUAACUAACAUCUCAAAAAAUAAAAUGAAAAGAAAAAUAACAAUUCCCCUAAUUUCAGGACUUCCACUGCCACCAGAACUUCUUAAAACAAGCUUCAUACUUGUAAGAAAUAAGCUAUAGAGCUGUUGCUCACAAGUCAACCUCCCAACCUUGAGAUAUCUUGACCUUGUGUCACUCACAUACAAGACAACAGAGAUAAAAGCAGGUUUCAGCAUUUUUGAGAUUCAUUAACUAACAUUUUUUUAAUCUAAAUGAUAAAUAAUCAAACAAAAGAGAAAGGAGACCAUUAAGUCAUGGAAUAUUCAUGUUUCAAAUAGUCACAUAUACUACAUUCAUACCAAAACAUCCAAGUAUCGCAUGGAAGCUCAUUCAUUAUACAUGUUUUAUCACAAGCAUACUGAUGUUAUAUUACUUCAAAAAAAAAAAAAACAAUACAUGAGAGGAGGUGGAAUACCUUGUAACAAUAUGAAACAAGCAGUAAAAAAGGCUGAAUACUAGUUCAGAAUUUUGGAAAAGAAGUAGCCAACAAAAAUAGACAGCAACAGUGAGAAUCAAACCCAAAAAAUACCCAAAAUCAACCUAAUCAGAAGACCACCAAAAAUAGAAUACCGGCCUACAAUUCUAACCGGUAAAGUUGAAGUUUUUCAAAGAACCUUUUAGGAAUUUUCUCUUUGUUUUUCAGAACUUUAAGUGGCGAAAAUACUAAGGAAUAUCGAAUGUUGAUGAUUGCUAAUGAUUGUGUGUGUGAUUGUGUGAGAGAAUGUUUCCGUUUGUAGAGUGCAAAAAGCAACCCAAAAAGAAAUAUUCCGAUCUAGUACAAUGUAUUUUUACAGCUGUAUUGUCCUUUUUCUUUAUCCAAAACUAGUAUUUGCUAAGGAUAAGGACAACUAUCCUAAGUUCCAGAAAUUUUCUAAUUUUACCCAAUGUGAAACCCCAAUUUUAUCCUUUGAAUUACCACCUAUUUCAGUUUUAUCCUAAACUUGUAGGUUUAGUUAAGUCCCUAAAGUUUCUAUCUGUGAGCAAAUUAGAACAAAUAAGGACAAACCUAAAAUUGGUUGGAAAUUUGGAUAAAAAUGCCUAAGAAGAUCAAAUGGGUGCAGUCUAAACUUAGCAAAAGGAAAUUUUUAAUUGAUUAAAACCUAAACUAGAAUUAAAACUUAACAAAUAAUGCAUUUAAAUAGUAAUUCAAAAUCAGAGAUGCAACUGCAAGGAAAUGACUAGAACUCAAACUCUAUCAAUUUGUAGAACUUAAAUAAAUGAAACAAUAAAAGGCUAAAUAAUUGUUAAUUCUACUAGACUAAGACAUUAUAUCAGCUUAGGGAAAUAGAAUCGUCAACUGAAAUGCUGAAUCUUAGAGACGAAACCUAGGAUAACUAAAAUCGUACAAUUGGAAACAUGUUUUUCCUUCUUUUGUUUAAUCUAAUAAACAACAUGCAGCCAGAAUAAAACGAUUAAAUAUGUAAAAGAAGAACAAAAGAUAAAACCAAACAACAGAAGAAAAGAAAGAGAUUUACCUAAGUUUUAUUUCAAAAUUGAAUCAAUUUAUGAACUAGUCCAAACUCUUUAAAGCGUAAAUGAACUUUGAAUACCAUUAAUCGAUUGAUCUUAACAAGAACUGUUCACUAAUGGAGGUUUCGCUUGACCAGAUAUAGACCAAGAAAAGAGAAAGAAAUUUGAGUUUCAGAUUCAAAAUUAGGUCGAUUUUGGGAUCGUUCAAAAGGGAAUAUGGGGAUAUCUGGGGAGAGGAGGUGAUGGUGACUAUUUGGUGUGAAUUUGGUGGGAUUUGGAAUAGUUAAGGUUUUAGACGGAUUUUCGAUCUAAAAUUCGAGGGUUUAGGCUGGGAUUCGAGGUAAAGGAUCUUUCAAGGUGUAAAUUUGAGGAGAUUUGGCCGUGAUCCGCUGCCGUGAAGCGAUUUUCGACCGGCGAACUACGGUGGAAUUGGGCAGAGCCAGCGAGUGAUAUAAAUGCGGCUAGGGUUUAGAGUUUAGAGAGACUCUGGAGACUGUGAGUGAGGGCUCUUUUGUGGGGUAAGGGGUUCUGGUUUUCGG
Molecule: long non-coding RNA, 2169 nt
Filed under: Nicotiana benthamiana
Lineage: Eukaryota; Viridiplantae; Streptophyta; Magnoliopsida; Solanales; Solanaceae
Description: long non-coding RNA (NBEN_LNC032133)
Source: RNAcentral